Molecule: long non-coding RNA, 1081 nt
Filed under: Sinocyclocheilus anshuiensis
Lineage: Eukaryota; Metazoa; Chordata; Actinopteri; Cypriniformes; Cyprinidae
Description: lncRNA (ENSSANG00000037864.1)
Source: RNAcentral
AAAAUGUGUGAUUCAAUGCGCACACUACCAUUUAGCACUUUGUUUCAAUUUGUUCAGCAUCCACCUCCUUCAUCCGAGAUGAGAACUGGUGUACCCAUAAUCCUCUUUGUUGCAGUGGCAGGUUUCCACAGUGUGAUUUCAUUUUCUCUGCAAUGUGAUGAAACGACUAAAUUGUCAGAAGAGAGAGCGUUUGAAGAGAACAGCACAACACCACAAACAGAUGGAGAGACAAAGGCAGUGACAGACACUACAGAGGAGGAAAAUGGUGAAGAAUCAGACGGAGCGAACACCGGAAGUGACGCGCCAACAGGAAGGUCACGCUCGGUGGAGGUCCAUUCAUCACCACACGAGGGCGACAAACACAGUGAGCAGGUGGAAGAGAAUGUGAAAAGUUCUGAGGAUUCCAGUGAAGAAUACGGUGGAUAUUACGAUUCUUAAGACUGUGUGGAAGGCAUCUAACAUCUUUAAACCUAAAUGCCUUGUUUUAUAAAUCAUAUUGCAAAAUUUCUAACCAACUGUCUGUAGCACCUGGACAAAAAACAUGCAUUGUGACCACUGCUUUUUUUUUCUUUCCAAAUAAAGACUGUAAGCACUGGCGGGUGUCCAGCAUUCAUAGAAACGCUAGGUUGCAGAUGGGUGUAAUAACAGAUGAUUACAUGGCUUCUUAGAGGCAGCAGUGUGAGUAGCAGAUGUGGCAGUGUUAGAACAUAUCUAGGACGGUUAUCCAGGCCAGCGGCGUCUACAGUCCGUGGGUGCUCAUUUGAGCUUUAUUUAUAUCAUCUGCAUUGUCCCAGCUUAUUUUUGGACCAAAGAUGCAUCAUCGCCCGUCCCCAAAUCCCACAACCUGAUGAGGACGAGCUGUUUUACUGCAUAUAGAGCAGCAAGCAUUUAUUGCGGUUUUACUGUAUAUAGAAAAAGACUCCUAAACUCUCAAGAAAUACUUUGCAAUUGUGGAGGGAAAUGUUGAUAGUUCUUUGCUAAAUGCAUGUUUCGCAUUUAGUCCAUGUUGUAAUGCAUCGUUUUAAUGGUCAAAAUUUAAAUCUAUAGUGUUUUGUCUGUUAAGGAUUAGGGAACUACACAC